AGAGUUUGAUCCUGGCUCAGGACGAACGCUGGCGGCAUGCCUAACACAUGCAAGUCGAACGGAGACAUACUAAAAGUUUACUUUUUGUAUGUUUUAGUGGCGGAUGGGUGAGUAACACGUGGAUAAUCUGCCCUUGACUUGGGAAUAACAUCGUGAAAACGGUGCUAAUACCGAAUACUCUCACGAGGCCGCAUGGUUUUGUGAGCAAAGGGGGCGUAAGCUCCCGGUCGAGGAUGAGUCCGCGGCCCAUUAGCUAGUUGGCGGUGUAACGGACCACCAAGGCUACGAUGGGUAGCCGGCCUGAGAGGGUGAACGGCCACACUGGGACUGAGACACGGCCCAGACUCCUACGGGAGGCAGCAGUGGGGAAUAUUCCGCAAUGGACGAAAGUCUGACGGAGCAAUGCCGCGUGAAUGAUGAAGGCCUUUGGGUCGUAAAAUUCUGUCUUCGGGGACGAUACCCCGGUGUGUUAAUACCACAUCGGACUGACGGUACCCGAGGAGGAAGCCCCGGCUAACUACGUGCCAGCAGCCGCGGUAAUACGUAGGGGGCGAGCGUUGUCCGGAAUCAUUGGGCGUAAAGGGCGCGUAGGCGGCCUGGUAAGUCGGAUGUGAAAACCUUGGGCUCAACCCAGGGCCUGCAUCCGAAACUAUUAGGCUUGAGGUCAGGAGAGGGAAAUGGAAUUCCGAGUGUAGCGGUGAAAUGCGUAGAUAUUCGGAAGAACACCAGUGGCGAAGGCGAUUUCCUGGACUGAUACUGACGCUGAGGCGCGAAAGCUAGGGGAGCGAACGGGAUUAGAUACCCCGGUAGUCCUAGCUGUAAACGAUGGAUACUAGGUGUAGGGGGUAUCGACCCCCCCUGUGCCGCAGCUAACGCAAUAAGUAUCCCGCCUGGGGAGUACGGUCGCAAGACUGAAACUCAAAGGAAUUGACGGGGGCCCGCACAAGCGGUGGAGCAUGUGGUUUAAUUCGACGCAACGCGAAGAACCUUACCAAGGCUUGACAUCCCUUGACCGCCUUAGAAAUAGGGUUUUCCCUUCGGGGACAAGGUGACAGGUGGUGCAUGGUUGUCGUCAGCUCGUGUCGUGAGAUGUUGGGUUAAGUCCCGCAACGAGCGCAACCCCUGCUGUCAGUUGCCAUCAUUAAGUUGGGCACUCUGGCGGGACUGCCGGUGACAAACCGGAGGAAGGCGGGGAUGACGUCAAAUCAUCAUGCCCCUUAUGUCUUGGGCUACACACGUGCUACAAUGGACUGUACAACAGGUUGCGAAGGAGCGAUCCGGAGCUAAUCC
This 1290-nucleotide ribosomal RNA is filed under the name metagenome. RNAcentral's name for it is "bacterial SSU rRNA". It matches the Rfam family "Bacterial small subunit ribosomal RNA", at positions 8 to 1274 of the family's 1533-position model. The record is from RNAcentral.